Long non-coding RNA from Acipenser ruthenus (sterlet), 198 nucleotides. RefSeq lists it as uncharacterized. The record is from RefSeq and is a predicted model, not a curated record. Lineage: Eukaryota; Metazoa; Chordata; Actinopteri; Acipenseriformes; Acipenseridae. The transcript has 3 exons.
GUUUUUUUCACUUCCUCCCACAAAAUGGAGGACAGUACUACUCUACGCAACUGAGAAACCUCUCUGCUGCAGGACAAUAAAUUACACACAACAAUUAUUUUUAGGCUCAACUCACCGCUACCACCCCUGCGCUGACUCGGGAGGGUGAAGACAAACACACGCUGUCCUCCGAAACGUGUGCCUGCAGCCGACCGCUUU